CUAUAAAAGAUGUAACAGAUGCAAACUGUAACACAAGGGCCAUUAACCCUUUCUCUGCCGAGCACACUCAGUCCCCACGCCCCGCACCUAUUGUCUCCUGUGCUAGAAGCUUUGCAGAAAACCUGGAA
This is an unclassified non-coding RNA of Neogale vison (American mink), 128 nucleotides long. Lineage: Eukaryota; Metazoa; Chordata; Mammalia; Carnivora; Mustelidae. The record is from Ensembl.